Molecule: long non-coding RNA, 529 nt
Filed under: Mus caroli (Ryukyu mouse)
Lineage: Eukaryota; Metazoa; Chordata; Mammalia; Rodentia; Muridae
Description: proprotein convertase subtilisin/kexin type 2, opposite strand 1 (MGP_CAROLIEiJ_G0003269.1)
Source: RNAcentral
CGCCGCGAGCCCGCGCCCCCGCCAGCUCGGAGCGGCUUUGCUCCGCCCGACCGCUGCGCGCCCAGGAAAAUCCCCCCCGCUGCCACCCGCCGCCGGCGCCCGGUGAUGUCAUUGUUUGUGGAAAUCUGCACAGCUCCGGGCAGGGAAUUACGGUGUAUUCAGACUCUCUAGGAAGAAGACUUCAGAUCCACACACUAUCAAGUCAAGGAAAAUCUGCUAUGUCAGAGAUGGGGAACAGGGCAAACCAUAGUCAUCCCUAGGAGGGUCCCUUCUGGACCUGUGCAUAUUGUUUGAACCACUGAAGAAGGUUUGUCCUCAUAUUGCAGUUUGGUGCAAAAUGAAUGGUGCAGAACAAUACUGACAGGUUCAGUGAUAGGGAGACAUGUACAAGGAAGACCUGGCCACUUUCCUCAGCAAGAACAGAUGAAUGAAUAAGGAAAAUGAGCUUGUGCCUUUUAGCUGAGGUGAUUUGUCAAAAGCCCACAGCACUGUGGCUGUUCCCAGACUUUAAGGGUUAUACUCAACCUCA